GUGAAGACACAUAUACUAAAAUUGGAACGAUAAGAUUAGCAUGGCCCCUGCGCAAGGAUGACAAGCAAAAUCGUGCAGCGUUCCACAUUUUU
This 92-nucleotide small nuclear RNA is filed under the name Haemaphysalis longicornis (longhorned tick). The record is from RNAcentral. Lineage: Eukaryota; Metazoa; Arthropoda; Arachnida; Ixodida; Ixodidae.